CUCGGAGGUGCGAUGGGGACGAUGAAGUGCGAUGGUCACGCUGAAGUGCGAUGGUCCACGCCGAAGUACGAUGGUCCUUUCGCUGAAGUGCGAUGGUUUGGCUUGACGUUCGAAUAUUGUGACGUUUUAUAAUACAACGUUUUUUUAAAAUACAACAUUGAUUUGCAAGCAGGAUGAUAUGAUUUUGUAGAUGAAGGUUUCAUGGUCACAAAGGAAAUGAAAGGAAAAAGAAAAAAACGAACGAUUUAAGUCCCAAACUGAUUUGAGCAUAACAUGUCGAUGUUACAAAAAUAUUUUUAACCAUGCCAGGCAGCAAAAUAAGGGGAGCAACGGGCUGAAAGAUGAUUUUGGUCAGCGAAUGGGUUAUCCUAUGUUCGGAAUAAUGUCGCACGAUAAUGAUUCAACUGAAAUAAAGUAUACUGAUAUAAUUUUAAAUAUUGAUGUUAAAUUAUCAUUAAGUAACAAAGCUUCACGUGAUUUUAUGUGGACAAUUUAAUAAAAAAAAAUUAAUAAUUGAGAGUAUUAGCAAUGUUUUUGUUAAUGUUGUUUAAUCUCGAGAUAAAUCCUGAUUUGUAAAACCACCGUCGCUCUAGUCUUUUUUAUUACCGUUACAGUGAUUAUUGCCUGAAACAAAGUAGGCCGAAAUUACCCUGACUGCUCCCUACGUGUACUUCCUAAAAUAAUAAAUAGGAAUAAUUGUUGUUAUCAAUUUCUAAGUUUUGUCAUAACAUAAACCCUGCUUAGUGUUACCGUAUAGACAUACACGCUCAUUUUUUUUUUUGUUCAGUUCACCCUUGAGCAUCUUAGAUCUGAC
RNAcentral lists this long non-coding RNA (814 nucleotides) under Mytilus galloprovincialis (Mediterranean mussel). The record is from RNAcentral. Lineage: Eukaryota; Metazoa; Mollusca; Bivalvia; Mytilida; Mytilidae.